RNAcentral lists this long non-coding RNA (266 nucleotides) under Trifolium pratense (red clover). RNAcentral describes it as "long non-coding RNA (TPRA_LNC000624)". The record is from RNAcentral. Lineage: Eukaryota; Viridiplantae; Streptophyta; Magnoliopsida; Fabales; Fabaceae.
CUCAUUCCAAACAUCAAUUGCAUUAUCAAGGAAAACGAUACUUUGCGCAAUUGAUUCAUCAACAGAAUUCAUGAUCCAUGAAUGAAUCAACAUAUUGCAUCUAUUCCAUGCCUUGAAAUUAGGAUCAAAUUCACUAGGAACUUCAAUUGUUCCAUCAACAAAAUCAAGCUUAUUCUUACCUCCAAGAGCACGUUUCAUGGAUCGCGCCCUAGCUUGAUAAUUGGAGUGAUUGAGAACAGGUUUCACCACGACAGAAGUAGGACCAU